This 1317-nucleotide ribosomal RNA is filed under the name Staphylococcus aureus. RNAcentral describes it as "bacterial SSU rRNA". It matches the Rfam family "Bacterial small subunit ribosomal RNA", at positions 213 to 1520 of the family's 1533-position model. Lineage: Bacteria; Bacillati; Bacillota; Bacilli; Caryophanales; Staphylococcaceae. The record is from RNAcentral. RNAcentral also lists the same sequence under 1 other name.
UGUCACUUAUAGAUGGAUCCGCGCUGCAUUAGCUAGUUGGUAAGGUAACGGCUUACCAAGGCAACGAUGCAUAGCCGACCUGAGAGGGUGAUCGGCCACACUGGAACUGAGACACGGUCCAGACUCCUACGGGAGGCAGCAGUAGGGAAUCUUCCGCAAUGGGCGAAAGCCUGACGGAGCAACGCCGCGUGAGUGAUGAAGGUCUUCGGAUCGUAAAACUCUGUUAUUAGGGAAGAACAUAUGUGUAAGUAACUGUGCACAUCUUGACGGUACCUAAUCAGAAAGCCACGGCUAACUACGUGCCAGCAGCCGCGGUAAUACGUAGGUGGCAAGCGUUAUCCGGAAUUAUUGGGCGUAAAGCGCGCGUAGGCGGUUUUUUAAGUCUGAUGUGAAAGCCCACGGCUCAACCGUGGAGGGUCAUUGGAAACUGGAAAACUUGAGUGCAGAAGAGGAAAGUGGAAUUCCAUGUGUAGCGGUGAAAUGCGCAGAGAUAUGGAGGAACACCAGUGGCGAAGGCGACUUUCUGGUCUGUAACUGACGCUGAUGUGCGAAAGCGUGGGGAUCAAACAGGAUUAGAUACCCUGGUAGUCCACGCCGUAAACGAUGAGUGCUAAGUGUUAGGGGGUUUCCGCCCCUUAGUGCUGCAGCUAACGCAUUAAGCACUCCGCCUGGGGAGUACGACCGCAAGGUUGAAACUCAAAGGAAUUGACGGGGACCCGCACAAGCGGUGGAGCAUGUGGUUUAAUUCGAAGCAACGCGAAGAACCUUACCAAAUCUUGACAUCCUUUGACAACUCUAGAGAUAGAGCUUUCCCCUUCGGGGGACAAAGUGACAGGUGGUGCAUGGUUGUCGUCAGCUCGUGUCGUGAGAUGUUGGGUUAAGUCCCGCAACGAGCGCAACCCUUAAGCUUAGUUGCCAUCAUUAAGUUGGGCACUCUAAGUUGACUGCCGGUGACAAACCGGAGGAAGGUGGGGAUGACGUCAAAUCAUCAUGCCCCUUAUGAUUUGGGCUACACACGUGCUACAAUGGACAAUACAAAGGGCAGCGAAACCGCGAGGUCAAGCAAAUCCCAUAAAGUUGUUCUCAGUUCGGAUUGUAGUCUGCAACUCGACUACAUGAAGCUGGAAUCGCUAGUAAUCGUAGAUCAGCAUGCUACGGUGAAUACGUUCCCGGGUCUUGUACACACCGCCCGUCACACCACGAGAGUUUGUAACACCCGAAGCCGGUGGAGUAACCUUUUAGGAGCUAGCCGUCGAAGGUGGGACAAAUGAUUGGGGUGAAGUCGUAACAAGGUAGCCGUAUCGGAAGGUGCGGCUG